This is a long non-coding RNA of Stegodyphus dumicola, 536 nucleotides long. The record is from RefSeq and is a predicted model, not a curated record. NCBI's taxonomy places the organism in Eukaryota, Metazoa, Arthropoda, Arachnida, Araneae, Eresidae.
ACGAAGAAAUGGAAUAUGCAUUGUUCAUAUAAAGUUCAUAAAUUAUGAAAACAAAAAUUCAAAAGUUUCGUUUUCAGGUUUUAAAUUAAUAUGAAUCUAAAUUUCUGCUCAUAUGAACCAAAAGUGAGAAAAGCAUGCGAGGGCAGGAUUCCCCUAUGACAAGGGCAGUUCAUCUCCUUCGGUAGCAAAUUCCCUUUUUCCCACAAAAAAAAAAAAAAAAAAAGGACAAUCAUGUGACCCUUCACCCAGCAAGCAGCACCUCUUUUUGGUAAGAAGAGAAGCAGUAAACAGCAAUCGGGCUAAGCCAAGAAGCAGGAACGAGGUGCGCAGUUAUGAAAUAUGGAGACUUAGUUUAACAAAAGAAAGUAGUUGGCAUUUGACGGUUUUUCGAUUCUACAGAAAUUAAUAGAAAUGAUCUUCAUGGUGGAUUGUGGAUACUCUUCGGUAUAUCGGAUUCUUCUCUUACUAAAAUUUCCAGUGAAGAAAAGCUGUUCAAAUAAUAAUAGUAUUCCCAAUCAAAGCGAUUCGAAACUCAU